AAGAGCUUUUGGAAUAAGGGCUGGGCAAGACCGGUGCCAGCCGCCGCGGUAACACCGGCAGCUCUAGUGGUAGCAGUUUUUAUUGGGCCUAAAGCGUCCGUAGCCGGUUUAAUAAGUCUCUGGUGAAAUCCUGUAGCUUAACUGUGGGAAUUGCUGGAGAUACUAUUAGACUUGAGACCGGGAGAGGUUAGAGGUACUCCCAGGGUAGAGGUGAAAUUCUGUAAUCCUGGGAGGACCGCCUGUUGCGAAGGCGUCUAACUGGAACGGUUCUGACGGUG
RNAcentral lists this ribosomal RNA (278 nucleotides) under uncultured archaeon. RNAcentral's name for it is "partial 16S ribosomal RNA". It matches the Rfam family "Archaeal small subunit ribosomal RNA", at positions 422 to 699 of the family's 1478-position model. The record is from RNAcentral.